Molecule: non-coding RNA, 1442 nt
Organism: Notechis scutatus (mainland tiger snake)
Lineage: Eukaryota; Metazoa; Chordata; Lepidosauria; Squamata; Elapidae
Source: RefSeq, a predicted model, not a curated record
ACCGGAUGAGUAACUAAAUUAACUCAAGACAUCUUCUGGGGUCAGCAUCUUCUGUAUCUACCAAAGGAAAACAGAUGAGACAUGUUAGCAGAAUUCCAAGAUUGCCUGUCAAGCUAUAAUGUUUUGGGAAAGUACAAGAGAAUAAUUUAAAGAGCUGAAAAAGGAGCUGAAAAAAGGGACAAUGAUACUUCACAAAAAUGAGGAGGAGCUUCUACCAACAGAUGUACGGCUGUAACUAAUGAAACAUUGUUUAGAAACUUCAUAACAGGUACACUGGAAGCUUUGCAAGCACAGGUUUAUUACACUUAUGGAGUCAAGUGGAUGUCAUAUGUAUCAGUCCCAAUUUCUGUUUUGAUGAGAUUUAUGUUUUUUUUAAUUUUACUGUGUUAUAAGUUGCCUAUAGUUGUGCUAAAACAUGAUUAAUCCAGCAGAUAGGCUGAUUUCAGUAUGAGUGUCCUAAAAAGCUGUUUCUUAGUUCUGCUGAAAUCAAUUGGAUUUAAUUUUGGCUAGAACAAAUUAUCCUCAUCUAAUGUGCAGAGUAUAUUAAAUAAAAUGUCUAGAUACUGAUAGAGAUUUAUGACAUCAUCAUUAUUCUGCUUUGAUUAUGUAACAUUAGCAAAUAUUUAUUAUAAUCAAAACAUAUUUAAAUAAACUAAUAGUAUUCAUUUUGACCUUCAGCCUUCGAUGUAAAGAUUGUUUCCUUCUAAUUAAUAGGCUUAAAUAUGCCACUUGGCAUAACUGUUAAAUAUUCUGUACCAUACAGCAUUCCUGUUUCCAAUUUAGGUCAUACUAUGAGGAUGAUGAAAAGAAUCGAAGAUGGAAGAUGAGAUGCUCUAAUUCACAUAUACGCCCUCUGGAAGGGCUGGCAAAGGCAACCACUUAAAUUAAGCUCAGGUCAUCAGACAAGAUAUUUAAUCUAUUCCUAAGACAGACAACUUCUAUAGCUGAAAUCCCUAUGGCCUUUAAAGCAACACAAUGAACUACUUUGUCGUGUACUCCUGUCAAAUCAUGUUAGGUUGCUUGAUUUUUAGAAGUGAUAUUUCAUGUACUCUUAUGAGCAAAUUGCUCAGAGCAAAGAAAAGUGUUUUGGUUUAUUUAUGACCUACUAACCUUAAGUAAAGAAAAAGAAGUUUCAGCCACUGUGAAUGUUCUCAGAAGCCUAGAGAUACGAAAUGUACAUAAAAUAAAUCUGGCAUUUGUAGCACAGACUAGCAAAAGGCACACAUGGCCAAUCCACAGGGUUUCUUUAAAAAAGAAGAUGGAAACCAGAUGAUGAAAGCAGAAGGGACGAAAGUCACUCUUAACCAAUAAAUAAUAUAAAAUGCAGACUAUAGAACUGAAAGUUUAAAAGCAAGUAAAGAUUUUCAGAUUGUAUUCAAGGUGAGAAAUAAACGGAAGAAUGGAUGGUAAUACUGAGCUUUCAAGUAUGUUGUUAGUAAAAA